Long non-coding RNA from Melospiza melodia melodia, 325 nucleotides. RefSeq lists it as uncharacterized. The transcript is spliced from 3 exons. NCBI's taxonomy places the organism in Eukaryota, Metazoa, Chordata, Aves, Passeriformes, Passerellidae. The record is from RefSeq and is a predicted model, not a curated record.
AUGACUGCCAUAUCACAUAGGGUUCCUGCAGAAAUCAGUCUCUGGACAAUUGGUUUCAUGGUCCUUCCAAUGGAGUUUCUUGUUCAAGAUUUGCCUUAGCCUGAAGAAAGUGGCAAUACUGAGAGCACAAAGUGGGAAACUUCCUUGCAAGUAUCUAGAUGCAGAAGAGUUGGUGAGAUGACUACAUUCCAAUACUGAGUGACCAAAGGAGCUCAAACAGCCAGCUUGGACCAGACACCAUACUCAAGAUGCAAGGAAUAAGGCAAAUCCCAUCUUUAGUAACCCAAAAGAUACCAGAGGCUUGCCAGUCAAAGAGGGUGACAGA